AUAAUGGGUCAGCGACUUAUAUUCUGUAGCAAGGUUAACCGAAUAGGGGAGCCGAAGGGAAACCGAGUCUUAACUGGGCGUUAAGUUGCAGGGUAUAGACCCGAAACCCGGUGAUCUAGCCAUGGGCAGGUUGAAGGUUGGGUAACACUAACUGGAGGACCGAACCGACUAAUGUUGAAAAAUUAGCGGAUGACUUGUGGCUGGGGGUGAAAGGCCAAUCAAACCGGGAGAUAGCUGGUUCUCCCCGAAAGCUAUUUAGGUAGCGCCUCGUGAAUUCAUCUCCGGGGGUAGAGCACUGUUUCGGCAAGGGGGUCAUCCCGACUUACCAACCCGAUGCAAACUGCGAAUACCGGAGAAUGUUAUCACGGGAGACACACGGCGGGUGCUAACGUCCGUCGUGAAGAGGGAAACAACCCAGACCGCCAGCUAAGGUCCCAAAGUCAUGGUUAAGUGGGAAACGAUGUGGGAAGGCCCAGACAGCCAGGAUGUUGGCUUAGAAGCAGCCAUCAUUUAAAGAAAGCGUAAUAGCUCACUGGUCGAGUCGGCCUGCGCGGAAGAUGUAACGGGGCUAAACCAUGCACCGAAGCUGCGGCAGCGACGCUUAUGCGUUGUUGGGUAGGGGAGCGUUCUGUAAGCCUGCGAAGGUGUGCUGUGAGGCAUGCUGGAGGUAUCAGAAGUGCGAAUGCUGACAUAAGUAACGAUAAAGCGGGUGAAAAGCCCGCUCGCCGGAAGACCAAGGGUUCCUGUCCAACGUUAAUCGGGGCAGGGUGAGUCGACCCCUAAGGCGAGGCCGAAAGGCGUAGUCGAUGGGAAACAGGUUAAUAUUCCUGUACUUGGUGUUACUGCGAAGGGGGGACGGAGAAGGCUAUGUUGGCCGGGCGACGGUUGUCCCGGUUUAAGCGUGUAGGCUGGUUUUCCAGGCAAAUCCGGAAAAUCAAGGCUGAGGCGUGAUGACGAGGCACUACGGUGCUGAAGCAACAAAUGCCCUGCUUCCAGGAAAAGCCUCUAAGCAUCAGGUAACAUCAAAUCGUACCCCAAACCGACACAGGUGGUCAGGUAGAGAAUACCAAGGCGCUUGAGAGAACUCGGGUGAAGGAACUAGGCAAAAUGGUGCCGUAACUUCGGGAGAAGGCACGCUGAUAUGUAGGUGAAGUCCCUCGCGGAUGGAGCUGAAAUCAGUCGAAGAUACCAGCUGGCUGCAACUGUUUAUUAAAAACACAGCACUGUGCAAACACGAAAGUGGACGUAUACGGUGUGACGCCUGCCCGGUGCCGGAAGGUUAAUUGAUGGGGUUAGCGCAAGCGAAGCUCUUGAUCGAAGCCCCGGUAAACGGCGGCCGUAACUAUAACGGUCCUAAGGUAGCGAAAUUCCUUGUCGGGUAAGUUCCGACCUGCACGAAUGGCGUAAUGAUGGCCAGGCUGUCUCCACCCGAGACUCAGUGAAAUUGAACUCGCUGUGAAGAUGCAGUGUACCCGCGGCAAGACGGAAAGACCCCGUGAACCUUUACUAUAGCUUGACACUGAACAUUGAGCCUUGAUGUGUAGGAUAGGUGGGAGGCU
This 1559-nucleotide ribosomal RNA is filed under the name Escherichia coli. RNAcentral's name for it is "partial 23S ribosomal RNA". It matches the Rfam family "Bacterial large subunit ribosomal RNA", at positions 612 to 2156 of the family's 2925-position model. The record is from RNAcentral. Lineage: Bacteria; Pseudomonadati; Pseudomonadota; Gammaproteobacteria; Enterobacterales; Enterobacteriaceae.